AGUGAACGCUGGCGGUAGGCCUAACACAUGCAAGUCGAACGGCAGCACAGUAAGAGCUUGCUCUUACGGGUGGCGAGUGGCGGACGGGUGAGGAAUACAUCGGAAUCUACUUUUUCGUGGGGGAUAACGUAGGGAAACUUACGCUAAUACCGCAUACGACCUACGGGUGAAAGCAGGGGAUCUUCGGACCUUGCGCGAUUGAAUGAGCCGAUGUCGGAUUAGCUAGUUGGCGGGGUAAAGGCCCACCAAGGCGACGAUCCGUAGCUGGUCUGAGAGGAUGAUCAGCCACACUGGAACUGAGACACGGUCCAGACUCCGACGGGAGGCAGCAGUGGGGAAUAUUGGACAAUGGGCGCAAGCCUGAUCCAGCCAUACCGCGUGGGUGAAGAAGGCCUUCGGGUUGUAAAGCCCUUUUGUUGGGAAAGAAAAGCAGCAGGUUAAUACCCCGCUGUUCUGACGGUACCCAAAGAAUAAGCACCGGCUAACUUCGU
Molecule: ribosomal RNA, 491 nt
Filed under: uncultured bacterium
Lineage: Bacteria
Description: partial 16S ribosomal RNA
Rfam family: Bacterial small subunit ribosomal RNA
Source: RNAcentral